Molecule: transfer RNA, 71 nt
Filed under: Loxodonta africana (African savanna elephant)
Lineage: Eukaryota; Metazoa; Chordata; Mammalia; Proboscidea; Elephantidae
Rfam family: tRNA
About the family: Transfer RNA (tRNA) molecules are approximately 80 nucleotides in length. Their secondary structure includes four short double-helical elements and three loops (D, anti-codon, and T loops).
Source: Rfam by way of RNAcentral
CCAGCAGUGGUUCAGUGGUAGAAUUCUUGCCUUCCAAGCGGGAGACCCAGUUUCAAUUACCAGCCGAUGAA